AGCUGGGGACACAGAAGACAUUUCCUGACAUGCACAAUUCUGCCAUAAGUGGCUAUGUCAUGAGGCUGGUGUCAGGAUGCUUGGGAGGGCUCCCUCUCCCUCCUUGCUCCCCUCCUACUCAUUCCACGUGGCUUUAUGUUUUUCCUUUCUCUUGCGUCCUUUUUCCUUACUCCUCAUUUACCUUUACCCCGCCUUUCUUUUCCUUUUCCUUUCUACCUACCCAUCCUAAUUCCCAUGACUUAGGAAGGUUGGGGGAUCCCGUAACUGAGGAGGGACUAGGUCGGCAGAAGGGGAAGCCCUACUGAGUUGACUGUGGGCUCAGCCUACCUCGCCCGAUUUCAUGCUCAUCAUCACUCUGUCGGCAGAUUUUUCUUGUUCCUCCUUUGCAGAUGAGAAAUCUGGGGCUGGAGAGAUCAAAGGAUGUUUCCGAAAUCACACAUCUAGGCCAAAACCACACGUCACCAGGCCACUCUCGGAGCGCCAACUACACACCAGGUCCUGCGCGAGCCCUGGAGGGUGAAGAUACACAUGCCAUUUUCUGUCAAGCUCUCCUACUCCGGCAGCAGCCGAGCGCCUGUGAUUCUGCUGUGAUUCUUCGUAACACGCUGCUGGGCAUGAUCAAAUCACAGGUUGGGCAGAAACAUACAAAAUAAAAGUGGGUGGCAGUUACAGAUGAAGCAAGAAUGGGAAAAUGUUGGUGCCUGUUGAAGUUGAGUGAUGGGUAUCUCGAGAUGUAUUGUACUGCUUUGUUAUGCCUGGUUAAUGUUUGAAAACGCCGUGUUAAGUGGCUCCUAAUUAUGUCUUCUCAAAACAGACAACCACCCCACCCCCAGCCCCGGAGAAUCCCUUCUGGGAAGUUAAGACUCCUAAGUACAGACACCUUCCCAAAACAGAUUUGUCCCUGUAAGCCCUUGUUCUUGCAUAGGGUUGUCUGGGUAAAAAUGGCCCUAGUUUGGAAAGGAGGAGCCAAAUCACAGGAACAACAUAUACCCCAGCUGUUUGUGGGCACAGGCAGGACAAUCACGUGGACUGAGAAGCCUCUGUCCGCCUGGGACAUCAUGGAGUGCAUUAUCCUCUGUUUUAUAAGCCUUCUGUGAUACACGCACUAUUUAUCACGAUUGUUUAGAAGACACUAGAAAAAAUUAUGAUCCUCCCAGACCCAUGAACCUUUGUUCUUUUGUCUUACAGGAAACCAUUCUCUUCAACAUCAGAGUCUCCAUUUCUGAGAAGGCAAUAGAAUAAUCAAUUUCCUACAAUGUUGCUUUGCACAGGAAAGAGCUUGAUUGAAAACCAAAGCCACUGAUUGUAUCUCCCGUCUACUCUGAGGAGGCUUUUCGUCCUGGUUCUUUGAGAUCUUGGCCAUGAUGGCUUGUUGGCAGAUGGGUCCAUCUCUAUAUUGGGCGUGGUAAAAGGCAGGGUCCUGAGUUAAUGGCACAUCUCUUCCCACCCCAGAAGUGACCAUGUAACAAUCUCAGAUAGCCGCUCCUCUGGUUCUUUCUGGAUUUAGAAACUUGUGUGAGCUGCGGACGUGCUGCUUCUCCUGCAUGUAUAAUCUGGAUCCCGAGUGUGACCAAAACCCGGCUCUGCUGGUGGGUGAAAUCUGUUAGGCUGUGGGGAACGUGGGGUGAUUGUACCAAUCUGUCAGUUCAGUGCUUUUCCCUGAGUACAUUCUACAUGCUGAGGCUUGUGCGAGGAGCCUGGGAGAAACAGAGGGGAACGUGAUCGUGUCCUUUCAUGUGGGAGCCAGGGAGACAAACAACGUAAUUUAAACUGAACGUAUUCCAAAGCAAGAUUCUCUCAUUUUACCCAAAAACUCACACCUAUUUCUGUGAAUGAUCCCAUUCACCCCCCACCCCCUGCCCCCAUCACUCUUACCAGAGACAUGGGAUUCAUCCUAGAUUGUUUCCUCCUUCCCACCCUCCCACACCCCAUAUAACAUCCUAAAUCUUCUAGAUUAUUCUUCUGCUCCUCCUUUCCCAUCUCAUGAGCUCUACCGCAUUGGCUGUCUUGCAUGACCUCCCUCCCGAGUUUCCCUGGGCCACCCCUUCCCAGAUGACAGAUCAUUGACAGGUUUACUUUUGAAAACCUGUCAAUGGCUUUCCAUCUCCUUUCAGGUCAAGCCUGUCAAUCAUCUGAAAACCAGGUGCUUCCCAAGAUGCUGACUCACGAGACAUUUCCCAUCCAGUUUCCCACCGUUUUCCUUUGGGAGUCGCCCAGCCAGGUUUUUUUUUCUCCUUCUGGGAUUCCAUUCCAUUUUCCUGAUGGCCCCCCUUCUCCCUGACUUAUAUUCUGUCUGACACGUAUCUCCCCCUAUUUAAAUGCUACCCAUGCUUCCUGCUUACUCAAAUGCCACCUCCUACACGAAGCCUUGCCUGAUCUCCCAGUCUGAAGUCACUUUUCAUCUCCAAAUCUCUCAGAGAAGCAUUGUGGCUAGACCAAUGCUUGAGAUACCACAGGCUUGGACUUGAAAUUUGAUUACGCCACUAAAUAACCAGGUGCUAUUAGGGAGUCAAACUCUCCAAGCCCCAGUCUUUCUGCCAGUGAAAUGGGGACCAAUCAUUCCUCAUAUUUUUGUUGUGAGGAUGAGAAACUAUGGUCUUAGCACAAUGCCCAUAGCACGUGUUUGCUAAAGGGGGGGUAUCCUUAACAUCGUUCAUGGCCAUUAUUAUGCUCUGUCUUUAAGUUGUGUGGGCAUUGGCCAAAACUCCCACACUCUGAAGCGAAGUGGGUGAGGGUGAUGGGUGAGGGCUGCAUUUACCGUACGGUGGGGGUCUGCUCUGGCGGCCGAGGGCACGGAGCGGUCAGGUCACGGAAUGCAGCAGGCUCGGGGCCGACACUACCAAAGCCCCUAGGCCCCGCAAGGACCAGCUUGUUUCAUUAAAACAAAGGGAAGGGUUUCCUUGGAAAUCCUAUUUUUCCCCAGAUUUCCCUCUUGGCUGCUUCUGUGGCCACACAUGUUUCCGAUGAGUCCACAUUCAAAUGAAUUUCAGCCGACAAAUAACUCGAUACAGCUCUUUGGUGGGAGAGAAUUCCUUCGGGAUGAGGUCGUGGUUUGGCUACAGUAAAAUUAAAAAUAACCCAGAACCCCCCGCCGCCCAGGCUGGCAUCAAACCAGGACAGUGCAUUUGGGAACCAUUAUCGGGUUUAUCGGGGUAACAUAUCGCAGAAAACCUGCUUCUGUUUAUAGACCAUUUUAUUAUUCCGUUUUGACAUUUCCCUUUUUUCUUCAACCUUUUUCCCCCUUAAGCAAAUAUCUAUUAGACUGAAUUGAAAUGUGAUCCAACCAAAUAUACUGUUUUUCAACUUCAGGCUAAAGCAGGUCUGACUAGAAGCAGAAACGCUUAAGUGAAAAGUUAUGAUUUACUUUCUUUCUAAAGGGAAACAGUGUCAGAAGGAGAAUUUUAUGUGACAAGGGAGCUUGUGGAGCACGGAGCAGGGGGCUGGCGGCUGACGGGGGGGCCUGGGAAAGCCCUGGAGCUUAGAAGGCCAGGAACGACCCUGCCCGAGCACCCCCGGGGGGAACACUGGGAAGAGUGCACAGGCAGAACCUGGUUUUUCCAAAUCGGCAAAAUCCCCAGAUUGGACGGUACGUAUGUGAAGGGUCACAUCAGGAAGAAAACCUAGAGAUGGUUGACCUCCCUCCACCCCUGUUAUCUUACUAUUGGGUAAACUGAGGCCCACAAGGCUGCAAUGACUCGCCCAAGGUAACUACACUGAGCUCUGGAGCUCAGCACAUGUGAGUUUGAGGACCAGCUCUACCACAAGACCCUGGGCAAGAGACUCAACUUUCUUGUGUCUCAAGUCCAUUGUCUAUGAAAUGGGGUGAUGACUGUGCCCUGCCUAUGUCAGACAGUGAUGGAAAGACCCAAUGGAGAAACAGCCAAUAGAGCAAUUACUUCCUGAGUGCUUUUUCUGUCCUGUGCGCCGUCCCAACCCUUCACACACCCACCUGCUACUCACAGCAAUCCUACCAGGUAGAUUCCAGGAUGGUCCCAAUCCUGAAGAUAAGAGAGCUGUGUGAGGCUCAGAUAAGUUCAGUGACACGACCACAGUCAGGUCGUUGGAGGACAGUAGAUGCUUGAUUUGAACCAGGAGCAGAUUCUGAUACGAGAGUCUGUGCUCUUGACCUUGACGUGAGCGGGUCUCUGUGACCCCUUAAAUCAGAAGCCCGAUUCAAGGGUGAAAUGUGAAGUCCAUGCUCAGCCGGGACAGAAGCCCAGGUCUUCUGAGUCUUGACCCUUUCUCCUGUGUCCUUUGCCAGGGCCCGAACUGUCCAGCUUCCAUCUCCAACUGGGGAGAAGGCCAGGCUGCUUUCCUGCCCUUGUUGUCAGGCCCGGAGCAACAGAUGAAAUGAUGGAAUGGAAAGGUGAUCUGGACUCUCCGCGAACGCAGCAAAGUACAGACCCGGAAGGAAUGUGUGCUGGCGAGUGCUGGGGGCUCCAGAGGCGGGCCUUCCCUGAAGGCUGACACGCGUAACAGCAUUUCCUGGCUCCCCCAGUGGAAGGCCGUGGGUUUGGUAGGAAGAAUUCAUGUGGCAUCCAAAAAUCUCAUUGGAACUCCAACGCUACUGUUUGUUAGCUGUGGGGGCUCCGGAUCGGUCAACAUCUUUGAACCACAAUUUCUUCAUCCUUUGAAUGAAGUUAAUAAUGGGAGGGGUGAAAUAAGGUUAUAAACAUAAAGGUGACUUGGCAAAAUGUAAAGACCAUAUAAAAUGUUACCUGUUGUCAUACUAAUUGAUGCUAUUGUGCCAAAUAUCAAUUUAUUGCCUGUUAGCUCCAAAUUCACCUGUUGCUGCUUGCUCUGUGAUGAUGAAGGACCCUGGAAAUAUUUUCCCUUUGUCAGCUCAUGCAAUGUUUAGCUUUUCCAGCAGAGGGCGCAGAAGGGACAGGUCAAGAAGAAGGGACUUCACUCUGGUGGGCUGCUUCCUCCUCCUACCAUUCUGCUGCCAGGGUCACAUUUAGGGGCAUCUAGUGGGGCUCCCCCUAUCAAGUUGUGGUGGCCACCCUAUGGACAAUUUCCCUUCGACUUUCAGUGCCACCUCUAAGGGCUCACAGGCUCUCCAGCGGCCAGCUCCCAGCUUUGCCUGCAUCACGGUAGGUUUCCAGCUUGUCAGUCAUGCCUGUGGUUUCUUGCCUCCCAUCUCUGGCCCGCAAGCACCACGGAGGAGCCUUUCUUUCUUACCAAUUCCAGCUGUGGGCCCCUGCCCAUCUGUCUCAGCCUCCUUAUACCUGGGAGGGGUAUUUCAGCUGUAGUUCCCUGUCCACCACCCUCGUCCUGGUGUCUGGGCAUCAGCUUUGACCUGGGACAAGCCACUGAGCUUCUCUGCUGUCCACAGAGUACAACCUACACCUUCUCCAAUGAGGAGAGUCCCAUCCUUGGAGAAAGCCCUCUGCCUUCCCAGUUUAUUUCUCCCACAGAUGCCCUCCAUCAACCUUAGGGAAUUCUUAGGUGACUCAUCACUCCUUUAUAGAUGAACUGUGGCUAUUGUCCUGGUUAGUCAUUAUUUAUGUUACAUUUUCUCUGUUCAAAUAACUGUAUGCAUUCUGUCUCCUGAUCGUGCCCUGGCUGAUGGAGAACGGUUGUGGCAAGUAGUCUCAGGAGAUAGACCCACAAAGAUGAGAUUUAAGGAUUGGUUUGGUUGUGUCUUUACACUUGAAUGUAGUGCUGGGUUUUUUGUUUUUGUUUCCUAAUGGGAAAUGAGAAGCUAGUGGUCCAUGGCAUGCAGUGGCCUGCUGGUUAGUCAAGCUGUCACCUGUGGUUGAAUGUGGUGAGGUGCCAACUGAAGACAUGCCUUGGGAGCCCAAGUGGCUCCUGCACAUGACCAUUUGGUAGUAAUGAUGACCACGGGAGCUGUGGUGUGGGAGGACUCUUCUGAGUACAAGCGAGCAAUUACAGAAAAAAAAAAACGACAAACUCUAGUCCUUUAACUAUCAACGCAAGUCAUAUGUUAAGGAUCAGAAAGACCCUAAAAUAUGCUGUUUUUUCUUAUAACCACAGGGCUACUAUUAGGAAAAUCAACAAAAAAAAUGUAUCGGGCAGGUUGCUGAAUUAAAAUGGCAGUUGCAUUCAAA
Neofelis nebulosa (Clouded leopard) is the source of this 6071-nucleotide long non-coding RNA. RefSeq lists it as uncharacterized. Lineage: Eukaryota; Metazoa; Chordata; Mammalia; Carnivora; Felidae. The transcript is spliced from 2 exons. The record is from RefSeq and is a predicted model, not a curated record.